UUUUCUCUAAAUGUUUCAGUAAUCUUUCUUGGUGAACCUCUAGUGGGAGCAGAGUGGCAUUUCAUCAUAAUGUCGCUUUGCAUUCCCAGCCGCCAGUGGUACUAAACAUCUUUUCAUAUGUUAUUGAUAAUUUGUGUGUCUUCAUUAGGGGGAUUUUUAUUUCUAUCUCUUCUAUUUUAAAUUAGACUGUUUUUUAUUACUGAGAUAUAAAUGUUUUUUUUUUUUUUUGCCAAGUUCUUUAUUUUGUAGAUAUAAAUUCUCAAAUACCUCAUGUGGAAACAUGAGAGUCUUUCCAUUUUCUUGAUGAUUUAUUUGAAAAACAGCAUUUUUGAUGAAGUCUAGCUUAUAGCUUAUUAUUUUCUGUGUACAUUCCUUAAUCCAUGGUCUCAUGUUUGUCUGUGAGUUUUACAGUUUUGGCUCUCUCUUAUUGUUUCUAUUGCUGCAACAAAAUACCAUGACCAAAAGGGAGGUUGAGGAGGAAAGGUUUUGUCUUGCACUUCCAUAUUUGUUUAUCAUCAAAUGAAGUCAGGACAAGAACCCAAGACAGGAGCUAUGGAGAGGACAUGGAGGCUACUGCUUUCUAACUUGAUCUCCAUGAUGGCUUGCUCAACCUGCUUUCUUACAGAAACUGGGACCACCAUCUUAGGAAUAGCGUUACCCAUAGUUAGCUGGGCCCUCCUCCAUCAAUCACUAAUUGAGAUAAUGGCUUAUAGUCAGAUCUUAUGAAAUCAAUUUCUCAAUUGAGAUUUCCUCCUUUCAGAUAACUCUAGAGUGUAUAACAAGUUGACAUAAGAGUAGCCAGCACACGUACAUAUAUGUCUUUGAUCCUUUUUGGAUCUUCUAGAUUUUAGUAUUUAUAGAUCAGCAGAUAUAAGCAAUAUUCAUAGGUUCUUCUGUACCUAUACUAGCCUAUGUAGUGAUUCUCUAUAAGAAUUACUAUACCUUAAAAUGUUCCUAUCAGAGAGUUAGAUUGUUUUCCACCUUUGUCAUAGUCCGUGCUUUAUAAAACAUUGCAUACUUCUGCAAACAAGCUGCCGGUAGUGAAAUUACUUUAUCAAGGCAUUUUCGUACUUUACGUUUUGAUAUGUACAUCUUCCUAGAACAUUGUGCUAUUUUAAUCUUUAUCAUGUGUUACAUUAUUUUAUAGAUAUAAUGCUAUAAAGGAAUUUAUUGGAAUGGAGAUUGUUAACACAUCUUAGUUGUUUGCUGUUAAAAUGUUUGCUUUAGAAUAGUAAUAAAAGGAAAUAAAAUAUCUUAUAUUUGAAAGAUUAUCACUCACAAAUUUAUCUAUUUACUAAAAACAUCAAGGCAAAACUUUUUACUACAAUAUAAAACAUUUCUUGAAAAUGAAUUGUAUCUUAAUUUGUAAGGAUACACAUUUCAGAAUUAUUCUAGAAUUAUCUACAAACUUAAAACUUAAAACAUUGGAAAUUUUUUACUUUGGGUAUUUUCUGCAUUUUAAAAUAUUUUUAAUUGACACUGUCACCAUCAGCUCUAAACUAUGGGUUCUUUAUUUAUAGAAGCAAAAUAACAUACUAAUGAAUUUUAGUGAGUCCCCUAGUUCAAAGCCUGUCAUUGUGAUUGUAAUAUCCUGUUUUCUGCUUUUCAACAUUAGUACUAAGCAAAAUCAUCGAUAGUCAUACUUAGUCAUAUGCCAUGUUAGCAGUAUUGAGAUUCAUUAUUCUCUACUGAGUACUAAUGAAAUCUUAUUAGAUAUUUUAGGUGAUUUCAAAGGAAACAAAGUUCUUGGGAUCUAAUUAGUGAGGAAUUCAUAAAGUGAAUAUUUACACUCCCCAAUGUGAGGUUUUUAUUUUACCUUACUUGCAUGUGAAAGCGAUUUCUCUGAAUGUUCAGUUUAUGCCGAGUGUUUAUGUGGUGCUCAUGACACUAUGUGGAGAUGCGUUGUUAAACUUCAGCUGCUCUUAAAGCAUAUCAUUGAAGCUGCCUGGGAGCCCUGUCAUUUUUAAGGGAAACAAUUGGAAGCAAAAUUUAACCUCAAUAAAGGCAGCAUGCCCAGAAGUUACUCU
This 2027-nucleotide long non-coding RNA is filed under the name Mus musculus (house mouse). Its description in RNAcentral is "long non-coding RNA chr6:8580405-8582432". The record is from RNAcentral. Lineage: Eukaryota; Metazoa; Chordata; Mammalia; Rodentia; Muridae.